This 245-nucleotide long non-coding RNA is filed under the name Mytilus galloprovincialis (Mediterranean mussel). The record is from RNAcentral. Lineage: Eukaryota; Metazoa; Mollusca; Bivalvia; Mytilida; Mytilidae.
CUAAUAUCUAAUACUAUUAAUUAUAAUUUUAUUCUUAUUUUACAUGAUUUCUUUUUGUGUAAAGAACUGAUAAGAAUUAUACUUGGUUUGAUGUACUGCUAAUUGUACUUUAUGUGAUGUAUUAAUCAGAAUUGUACUUUGUAUGAUGUACCUAUAAUGAUUGUACUGUAUUACGUACAGAUAAUAUAAAAAAGGGAGAUGGGUAUGAUUGCCGGUGAGACAACUCUCCACAAGAGACCAAAGAA